GAUGAACGCUGGCGGCGUGCCUAAUACAUGCAAGUCGAGCGAACAGACGAGGAGCUUGCUCCUCUGACGUUAGCGGCGGACGGGUGAGUAACACGUGGAUAACCUACCUAUAAGACUGGGAUAACUUCGGGAAACCGGAGCUAAUACCGGAUAAUAUAUUGAACCGCAUGGUUCAAUAGUGAAAGACGGUUUUGCUGUCACUUAUAGAUGGAUCUGCGCCGCAUUAGCUAGUUGGUAAGGUAACGGCUUACCAAGGCGGCGAUGCGUAGCCGACCUGAGAGGGUGAUCGGCCACACUGGAACUGGGACACGGUCCAGACUCCUACGGGAGGCAGCAGUAGGGAAUCUUCCGCGAUGGGCGAGAGCCUGACGGAGCAACGCCGCGUGAGUGAUGAAGGUCUUCGGAUCGUAAAACUCUGUUAUGAGGGAAGAACAAAUGUGUAAGUAACUAUGCACGUCUUGACGGUACCUAAUCAGAAAGCCACAGCUAACUACGUG
RNAcentral lists this ribosomal RNA (497 nucleotides) under uncultured bacterium. RNAcentral describes it as "partial 16S ribosomal RNA". It matches the Rfam family "Bacterial small subunit ribosomal RNA", at positions 28 to 507 of the family's 1533-position model. The record is from RNAcentral.